AUGGACGACGAGGCUAAGAAGUUCAUAAGGGAGCUCAUGGGGGAGCUUUGCACUAACAUCAAGGGGUCGAUUAGCGACCUCAGCGCCAAGGUCGACGCUAUCCAAGUGUGGAAGCCGGAGUUGGAGGCCCACGUCUCUGACCUGCAGGAGGCGGUGGGUGCCCUUCAUAGGGCGGCGCCGGCGUACCAGCCCACGCCGUCAUCGACAUUCCAGAGGGGACUGGCAAGGCGGUGGCAAACCCCAAGGCCGCCGCACCCAUGGCACCAUGGAGGCCAUCUUCUGGGCCCGUUGGCCACGACGAUCACCAUCAAACCCGGGGGCAGUUCCAAGGAACUAGCCCGGGCCUUGGCCUCGUCGUCCAUGGGAGGGGGCCAUAACCAUGCUUUACCGGCCAUGACCUUCCCACAGUUUGAUGGGGAGAACCCGUGGCUGUGGAAGGGGUUAUGCGAGCAAUACUUUUCUAUGUACGGGGUAGACCAGUCGUUCUGGUUGCCCAUGGCCAUGCUAAAAAAUUUCCACCACCACCGCAAUUUGGUUGCAGUCCGUCCAGCGCAAGGUUAUUGGCCUGGAUUGGGAAGAGGUCUCCCUUUGUACUUUUUGACGAGGUUUGUGGAGGUCCUACGCGACGAUAUCCGGGCGGUCGUGCUCAUUCAACGACCGGUGGAUCUGGAGGCGGCUGGCUCCUUGGCUCUCUUGCAACAGGAGCUGGCUGAGGCUUCCGAAGGGAGCGACCGCGUCGCCAGGAGGGGGGCCUGUCGCGCAUUACCAGGACAGUCGGGGUCCUACCCGUGGCAGCUGCUCUUCCUCGCGGAGGAGGGCUAG
This 822-nucleotide ribosomal RNA is filed under the name Triticum aestivum (bread wheat). Its description in RNAcentral is "partial small subunit ribosomal RNA". Lineage: Eukaryota; Viridiplantae; Streptophyta; Magnoliopsida; Poales; Poaceae. The record is from RNAcentral.